GACUUCGUAGUGUAGUGGUCAGCACACUGGGCGCAUAUUCCAGAAGUCCCUGGUUCAAUUCCCGGCGAAGGCG
Molecule: transfer RNA, 73 nt
Filed under: Stegodyphus dumicola
Lineage: Eukaryota; Metazoa; Arthropoda; Arachnida; Araneae; Eresidae
Description: tRNA-Met
Rfam family: tRNA
About the family: Transfer RNA (tRNA) molecules are approximately 80 nucleotides in length. Their secondary structure includes four short double-helical elements and three loops (D, anti-codon, and T loops).
Source: RNAcentral